RNAcentral lists this unclassified non-coding RNA (433 nucleotides) under soil metagenome. Its description in RNAcentral is "partial contains 5.8S ribosomal RNA, internal transcribed spacer 2, and large subunit ribosomal RNA". The stretch from base 1 to 120 matches the Rfam family "5.8S ribosomal RNA", at positions 35 to 154 of the family's 154-position model. The record is from RNAcentral.
GAUGAAGAACGCAGCGAAAUGCGAUACGUAAUGUGAAUUGCAGAAUUCAGUGAAUCAUCGAAUCUUUGAGCGCAUAUUGCGCUCUCUGGUAUUCCGGAGAGCAUGCUUGUUUGAGUAUCGGUAAACACCUCAACUUCCAUAUCUUUUUUGAAAUGGGAGUUGGACUUGAGUGAUCCCAACGCUUUUCCUCACCGAAAAGUGGCGGGUUACUUGAAAUGCAGGUGCAGCUGGACUUUUCUCUGAGCUAUAAGCAUAUCUAUUUAGUCUGCCUAAAAAACAGAUUAUUACCUUUGCUGCAGCUAACAUAAAGGAGAUUAGUUCUUGUGCUGACUGAUGCAGGAUUCACAAAGACAGGCUUCGGCCGACUUUGUAAACUCGAUCUCAAAUCAAGUAAGACUACCCGCUGAACUUAAGCAUAUCAAUAAGCGGAGGA